This 818-nucleotide long non-coding RNA is filed under the name Anser brachyrhynchus (Pink-footed goose). RNAcentral's name for it is "lncRNA (ENSABRG00000004988.1)". Lineage: Eukaryota; Metazoa; Chordata; Aves; Anseriformes; Anatidae. The record is from RNAcentral.
AUGCUUUAUUCUAUUGUUCUGCUUCUCUUAAAUAGUAUUUUUUUUUCGGUGGGAAGGGACAUGGUUAGAGAGAUACAAAAAUUAAGUAUCAGAGCUUCCCUGACUAGUUUCAUGUUUUCAUCCGGGUGGUGGGAUGCAAGCCCGGGGCAAUCAGCAGGACCUGCUGGCAACAGGCCCAAUAGCAAUAAAGAACACAAGCGACGAGCUGUCAGUCUGGCAUGUUUUGGGCACCUUGGAGCAGAUGUAGCACGCUCAGCUGUUAAUGACACAGUUGUCAGCUGAAGGACACCACAUGCAAGGCACUGUUGACAUGCAAUCAAUUGGCUCUGGGGCAGGUUUGUUCACUGCUUUGCUUUUCCCUGACAUUUUUUCACACAGAAAGUGUCCAAGGUCUCACAUUCUAUUCAGUCUAUAAAAUAAUCUUUCUGUGAGACAAAACACCCCAAUAGAGUACGUGGUCUUCUCACUUCAGCCAUUGCUUGGGAGAUCCUGGGUGUGACAUCCAGUUCAUCCUGAAAUUUCAGAGUGGAGCAUCCCCCUUAUUUCUGAACAUUGGAAAUGGGUUUGCUAACUGGGGAAAAACAAAAGUCUAUCACCAUGGGGAAUAUUUUAAGAAAUCAGAAAAGCGACAUUCUCUAUGACAAAUGACGCUUAGCAAUGAUAAAAUAAUGUUUAGUAAUGGCAGAGGUUACUUGCUGCUGGUGUUGCAGAAGUCUGGAAUGUCAAAGGACUAGAAAAGCUUGAUCUGUGUUUUCAGCUUCACAAAGGAAAAAAGAAGAAAAAGUAAAACAUGUGAUUCAUUACUUAAAAUAAGAUAG